This 467-nucleotide ribosomal RNA is filed under the name uncultured bacterium. RNAcentral's name for it is "partial 16S ribosomal RNA". It matches the Rfam family "Bacterial small subunit ribosomal RNA", at positions 28 to 507 of the family's 1533-position model. The record is from RNAcentral.
GAUGAACGCUGGCGGCGCACCUAACACAUGCAAGUCGAACGAUUAAAGCACCUUCGGGUGUGUAUAAAGUGGCGAACGGCUGAGUAACACGUGGGCAACCUGCCCCUCUCAUUGGGAUAGCCACGGGAAACCGUGGAUAAUACCGAAUACUUCGGGACUUCCGCAUGGAAGACUCGAGAAAGCUCCGGCGGAGAGGGAUGGGCCCGCGGCCUGUUAGCUUGUUGGUGGGGUAAUGGCCUACCAAGGCAAUGAUGGGUAGCUGGGUUGAGAGACCGACCAGCCAGAUUGGGACUGAGACACGGCCCAGACUCCUACGGGAGGCAGCAGUGGGGAAUCUUGCACAAUGGGCGAAAGCCUGAUGCAGCGACGCCGCGUGCGGGAUGAAGGCCUUCGGGUUGUAAACCGCUUUCAGCAGGGACGAGGCGAAAGUGACGGUACCUGCAGAAGAAGCCCCGGCUAACUACGUG